Molecule: ribosomal RNA, 2902 nt
Filed under: Escherichia coli
Lineage: Bacteria; Pseudomonadati; Pseudomonadota; Gammaproteobacteria; Enterobacterales; Enterobacteriaceae
Description: 23S ribosomal RNA
Rfam family: Bacterial large subunit ribosomal RNA
Source: RNAcentral
UUAAGUGACUAAGCGUACACGGUGGAUGCCCUGGCAGUCAGAGGCGAUGAAGGACGUGCUAAUCUGCGAUAAGCGUCGGUAAGGUGAUAUGAACCGUUAUAACCGGCGAUUUCCGAAUGGGGAAACCCAGUGUGUUUCGACACACUAUCAUUAACUGAAUCCAUAGGUUAAUGAGGCGAACCGGGGGAACUGAAACAUCUAAGUACCCCGAGGAAAAGAAAUCAACCGAGAUUCCCCCAGUAGCGGCGAGCGAACGGGGAGCAGCCCAGAGCCUGAAUCAGUGUGUGUGUUAGUGGAAGCGUCUGGAAAGGCGCGCGAUACAGGGUGACAGCCCCGUACACAAAAAUGCACAUACUGUGAGCUCGAUGAGUAGGGCGGGACACGUGGUAUCCUGUCUGAAUAUGGGGGGACCAUCCUCCAAGGCUAAAUACUCCUGACUGACCGAUAGUGAACCAGUACCGUGAGGGAAAGGCGAAAAGAACCCCGGCGAGGGGAGUGAAAAAGAACCUGAAACCGUGUACGUACAAGCAGUGGGAGCACGCUUAGGCGUGUGACUGCGUACCUUUUGUAUAAUGGGUCAGCGACUUAUAUUCUGUAGCAAGGUUAACCGAAUAGGGGAGCCGAAGGGAAACCGAGUCUUAACUGGGCGUUAAGUUGCAGGGUAUAGACCCGAAACCCGGUGAUCUAGCCAUGGGCAGGUUGAAGGUUGGGUAACACUAACUGGAGGACCGAACCGACUAAUGUUGAAAAAUUAGCGGAUGACUUGUGGCUGGGGGUGAAAGGCCAAUCAAACCGGGAGAUAGCUGGUUCUCCCCGAAAGCUAUUUAGGUAGCGCCUCGUGAAUUCAUCUCCGGGGGUAGAGCACUGUUUCGGCAAGGGGGUCAUCCCGACUUACCAACCCGAUGCAAACUGCGAAUACCGGAGAAUGUUAUCACGGGAGACACACGGCGGGUGCUAACGUCCGUCGUGAAGAGGGAAACAACCCAGACCGCCAGCUAAGGUCCCAAAGUCAUGGUUAAGUGGGAAACGAUGUGGGAAGGCCCAGACAGCCAGGAUGUUGGCUUAGAAGCAGCCAUCAUUUAAAGAAAGCGUAAUAGCUCACUGGUCGAGUCGGCCUGCGCGGAAGAUGUAACGGGGCUAAACCAUGCACCGAAGCUGCGGCAGCGACGCUGAUGCGUUGUUGGGUAGGGGAGCGUUCUGUAAGCCUGUGAAGGUGUACUGUGAGGUAUGCUGGAGGUAUCAGAAGUGCGAAUGCUGACAUAAGUAACGAUAAAGCGGGUGAAAAGCCCGCUCGCCGGAAGACCAAGGGUUCCUGUCCAACGUUAAUCGGGGCAGGGUGAGUCGACCCCUAAGGCGAGGCCGAAAGGCGUAGUCGAUGGGAAACAGGUUAAUAUUCCUGUACUUGGUGUUACUGCGAAGGGGGGACGGAGAAGGCUAUGUUGGCCGGGCGACGGUUGUCCCGGUUUAAGCGUGUAGGCUGGUUUUCCAGGCAAAUCCGGAAAAUCAAGGCUGAGGCGUGAUGACGAGGCACUACGGUGCUGAAGCAACAAAUGCCCUGCUUCCAGGAAAAGCCUCUAAGCAUCAGGUAACAUCAAAUCGUACCCCAAACCGACACAGGUGGUCAGGUAGAGAAUACCAAGGCGCUUGAGAGAACUCGGGUGAAGGAACUAGGCAAAAUGGUGCCGUAACUUCGGGAGAAGGCACGCUGAUAUGUAGGUGAAGUCCCUCGCGGAUGGAGCUGAAAUCAGUCGAAGAUACCAGCUGGCUGCAACUGUUUAUUAAAAACACAGCACUGUGCAAACACGAAAGUGGACGUAUACGGUGUGACGCCUGCCCGGUGCCGGAAGGUUAAUUGAUGGGGUCAGCGCAAGCGAAGCUCUUGAUCGAAGCCCCGGUAAACGGCGGCCGUAACUAUAACGGUCCUAAGGUAGCGAAAUUCCUUGUCGGGUAAGUUCCGACCUGCACGAAUGGCGUAAUGAUGGCCAGGCUGUCUCCACCCGAGACUCAGUGAAAUUGAACUCGCUGUGAAGAUGCAGUGUACCCGCGGCAAGACGGAAAGACCCCGUGAACCUUUACUAUAGCUUGACACUGAACAUUGAGCCUUGAUGUGUAGGAUAGGUGGGAGGCUUGGAAGUGUGGACGCCAGUCUGCAUGGAGCCGACCUUGAAAUACCACCCUUUAAUGUUUGAUGUUCUAACGUUGACCCGUAAUCCGGGUUGCGGACAGUGUCUGGUGGGUAGUUUGACUGGGGCGGUCUCCUCCUAAAGAGUAACGGAGGAGCACGAAGGUUGGCUAAUCCUGGUCGGACAUCAGGAGGUUAGUGCAAUGGCAUAAGCCAGCUUGACUGCGAGCGUGACGGCGCGAGCAGGUGCGAAAGCAGGUCAUAGUGAUCCGGUGGUUCUGAAUGGAAGGGCCAUCGCUCAACGGAUAAAAGGUACUCCGGGGAUAACAGGCUGAUACCGCCCAAGAGUUCAUAUCGACGGCGGUGUUUGGCACCUCGAUGUCGGCUCAUCACAUCCUGGGGCUGAAGUAGGUCCCAAGGGUAUGGCUGUUCGCCAUUUAAAGUGGUACGCGAGCUGGGUUUAGAACGUCGUGAGACAGUUCGGUCCCUAUCUGCCGUGGGCGCUGGAGAACUGAGGGGGGCUGCUCCUAGUACGAGAGGACCGGAGUGGACGCAUCACUGGUGUUCGGGUUGUCAUGCCAAUGGCACUGCCCGGUAGCUAAAUGCGGAAGAGAUAAGUGCUGAAAGCAUCUAAGCACGAAACUUGCCCCGAGAUGAGUUCUCCCUGACUCCUUGAGAGUCCUGAAGGAACGUUGAAGACGACGACGUUGAUAGGCCGGGUGUGUAAGCGCAGCGAUGCGUUGAGCUAACCGGUACUAAUGAACCGUGAGGCUUAACCUU